RNAcentral lists this ribosomal RNA (232 nucleotides) under uncultured bacterium. RNAcentral's name for it is "partial 16S ribosomal RNA". It matches the Rfam family "Bacterial small subunit ribosomal RNA", at positions 100 to 334 of the family's 1533-position model. The record is from RNAcentral.
CGGGACGGGUGAGUAAUGUCUGGGAAACUGCCCGAUGGAGGGGGAUAACUACUGGAAACGGUAGCUAAUACCGCAUAACGUCGCAAGACCAAAGAGGGGGACCUUCGGGCCUCUUGCCAUCGGAUGUGCCCAGAUGGAUUAGCUAGUAGGUGGGGUAAUGGCUCACCUAGGCGACGAUCCCUAGCUGGUCUGAGAGGAUGACCAGCCACACUGGAACUGAGACACGGUCCAG